This 4628-nucleotide unclassified non-coding RNA is filed under the name Limulus polyphemus (Atlantic horseshoe crab). Its description in RNAcentral is "dNA topoisomerase 2-alpha-like, transcript variant X5". Lineage: Eukaryota; Metazoa; Arthropoda; Merostomata; Xiphosura; Limulidae. The record is from RNAcentral.
CUCUUGUUAUUUCAUUCUCAUUGUCCAAAAUGAAGAAUUGAAAAGUUGUAAAGAAUCGUUGAUAUUAUAUUAUCAAGAACUUUUUCUAAUUGUUUAGAAACUUCUAGCAUCAUUCUGAGGAAAAUUAAACGUACUGUAUUGUUUGUAGCCACAUUCAAGGGUUACCAUGGCUUAUAGUACUAAACCAGAAGAGAUGGUGUUCCAACCAAUUCAGUUGGAAGAAGAAAAUGGACUCGUGAAAGAUAAUAAAAAGACAAACAAACGGUUAUCAGUAGAAAGAAUAUACCAGAAGAAAACACAGUUGGAACACAUUUUGCUCCGCCCAGAUACAUAUGUAGGAUCUGUGGAACCUAUAACUCAGUCCAUGUGGGUGUAUGAUGAUGAAGUAUCAGGGAUGGUGAAUAAAGAAAUCACAUUUGUGCCAGGCUUAUAUAAGAUUUUUGAUGAAAUCUUGGUGAAUGCUGCUGACAAUAAACAGAGAGACAAAAACAUGGACUGCAUUAAAAUUGAUAUAGAUCCGCAGGCUAACAAGAUUAGCAUCUGGAAUAAUGGAAAAGGAAUACCUGUUGUUGAACACAAAGUGGAAAAGAUGUUUGUUCCAUCCCUCAUUUUUGGUCAUCUUCUGACAUCUUCAAACUACAAUGAUGAGGAAAAGAAAGUCACGGGUGGUCGAAAUGGAUAUGGUGCAAAGCUGUGUAACAUUUUCAGUAAGAAGUUUGUUGUAGAAACUUCAAGUAAGGAGUACGGAAAAUCUUUCAAGCAGACAUGGACAGACAACAUGAUGAAAACUACUGAUGCUAAAAUAACACCUUUUCAUGGAGAAGAUUUUACUCGAAUAACUUUUUAUCCAGACCUGGCUAAGUUUAAAAUGGAAAUGUUGGACAAUGACACUGUUGCAUUUUUAUCUAGACGGGCUUACGAUAUUGCUGGCAGUACAAGAGGAGUCAAAGUACAUUUGAAUGGAAAAAGAUUACCAGUAAAAAGUUUUAAAGAUUAUGCAGAACAGUAUGUCAAAGGUAAAGAAGACGAACAAGGUAAUCCAUUGAAAAUAGUUUAUGAAAAUGUGAACGAACGUUGGGAAGUAGCCAUUACACUCAGUGACAGGGGUUUUCAACAUGUCAGCUUUGCUAAUAGUAUUGCUACUACCAAGGGUGGAAGACAUGUUGAUUAUGUUGCUGAUCAGAUUGUGAACAAGCUGGUGGAAGUAGUGAAGAAGAAAAACAAAGGUGGUGUACAGGUUAAACCUUUUCAGAUCAAGAACCACAUGUGGAUUUUUGUCAAUUGUCUCAUUGAAAAUCCAACUUUUGACUCUCAAACAAAAGAGAACAUGACAUUGCAAGUUAAGAGUUUUGGCUCAAAGUGUCAGCCAAGUGAAAAGUUUUUGAAUCAGGUCAUGAAGUGUGGUAUUGUGGAAUCAAUUAUGACAUGGGUUCGAUUUAAAGCUCAGACACAGCUAAACACAAAAUGUAGUGCUAAAAAGCAUUCCAAACUAAAAGGGAUCCCCAAGCUAGAAGAUGCCAAUGAUGCAGGUACCAAAAAUUCCAUUGACUGUACGCUCAUCCUUACUGAAGGAGAUUCGGCCAAAUCUUUGGCCGUGUCCGGUCUAAGUGUGAUUGGUCGAGAUAAGUAUGGAGUUUUUCCACUGAGAGGCAAAAUGCUGAAUGUUAGAGAAGCAACACAUAAGCAGAUUCUGGAAAAUGCUGAGAUUAACAACAUUAUUAAAAUCAUGGGUCUUCAGUACAAAAAGAAGUAUGAAAGCAUAGAGGAUUUACGUACCUUACGAUAUGGUCGACUCAUGAUCAUGACCGACCAAGAUCAAGAUGGAUCACAUAUAAAAGGGUUGCUUAUAAACUUCAUUCAUCAUAAUUGGCCGAGUUUACUUCACCUACCUUUUCUUGAACAGUUUAUAACUCCAAUAGUCAAGGCUGUAAAGGGAAAGGAAGAAAAAAGUUUCUACAGUUUGCCAGAAUUUGAAGAAUGGAAAACUCAAAUUUCCAAUUGGAACACUUGGAAGAUCAAGUACUACAAAGGUCUUGGUACCAGCACAGCAAAGGAAGCCAGAGAAUAUUUUGCUGACAUGGCACGGCAUCGAAUCAAGUUUAAGUAUGAAGGUUCUGAUGAUGAUAGUGCUAUCCAGCUGGCUUUCAGUAAGAAGAUGGUUGAACAGAGAAAGGAAUGGCUUACCAAUGGAAUGGAAGAAAGGAAACACCGUCGGGAGUUGGGGCUGCCUGAGUUGUAUGUUUAUGGAAAAGCUACAAGCCACUUAACGUUCAAUGACUUCAUCAACAAAGAGCUUAUUUUGUUUAGUAACAUGGACAAUGAACGAUCUAUUCCUUCCCUUGUUGAUGGUUUGAAACCAGGACAGAGGAAGGUGAUUUUCACUUGCUUCAAAAGGAAUGAUAAACGUGAAAUUAAAGUUGCUCAAUUCGCAGGAUCUGUGGCAGAGCUUUCUGCUUAUCAUCAUGGAGAGAACUCUCUAAUGGCAACCAUUAUCAACUUGGCACAAAACUUUGUUGGUAGCAACAACAUCAACUUGUUGCAACCCAUUGGACAGUUUGGCACUCGACUGCAGGGUGGAAAGGAUUCUGCCAGCCCUCGAUACAUUUUUACGAUGCUCAGUCCUUUGGCAAAGCACAUUUUUUCUUCUCUUGAUGAGCCUCUUUUGAAUCAUCUCUAUGAAGACAACCAGAAGAUUGAACCUGAGUUUUAUGUUCCCAUAAUCCCUAUGAUCUUGGUGAAUGGAGCAGAAGGUAUUGGAACAGGAUGGAGCACUAAGAUCCCAAACUAUAAUCCCAGAGAAAUAGUAGAGAAUCUCCGUAGAAUGAUUGUUGGAGAGGAACCAAAACUCAUGAAACCAUGGUUCAAAAAUUUCCGUGGCUCAAUAGAACAGUUAGACAGCCAGCGUUUUGUAAUAAGUGGUGAGGUAGCUAUCUUGGGAACAAACAAGUUGGAGAUAACAGAGUUACCAGUUCGUACGUGGACUCAGUCUUACAAAGAACAAGUUCUGGAGCCAAUGGUUCACGGUACAGAGAAGACAAAGCCCAUAAUAAUAGAUUACAAGGAGUAUCACACUGACACCACUGUAAAGUUUCUGAUAACGAUAAAUGAGGACAAACUUGCUGAACUUGAACACCAAGGUCUACACAAAGUCUUUAAGCUUCAGUCCACUGUAAAUACAACAUCAAUGGUACUGUUUGAUCAUACCGGUGUUCUUAGGAAAUACGAAUCUCCUCAAGAGAUUCUGACAGAGUUUUUUACUGUUCGACUUGAGUAUUAUGCAAAACGAAAGGCAUACCUUGAGGGUAUGUUUGGUGCAGAAACAAAUAAGCUUGAAAAUCAAGCUCGGUUCAUCCUGGAGAAGAUUGAAGGAAAAGUUGUUGUAGAAAACAAGAAAAAGGUAGACUUGAUACGCACACUUGUGGAGCGUGGAUAUGACUCUGAUCCUGUAAAAGCAUGGAAGAAAGCUGCUUUGAAACAACAGUUAGAGAAGGAGGGGACAAUGAUGGAUGAAUCUGAGAGCAGUGAUGAUGAAGAAGGAGAAGCUGCAGGUCCAGAUUUUGAUUAUCUUCUUGGUAUGAACAUGUGGAGUCUCACAAAAGAAAAAAAAGAUGAAUUGUUGAAAAAGAGGGAUGAAAAGAGGAAAGAGUUAGAAGAUCUCAAACAAAAGUCUCCUGCAGACUUGUGGCAAAGUGAUCUUCAGAGCUUCAUGGAGGAACUAGAUAAAGUGGAGAAGAAAGAAAAAGAAGAUGAAGAAGCUGGAAUUUCAGGCAAUGUGAUGAAAGCAGCCCAUAAACAAGGUGGUGGAAAGUCCCGUCCAAAGAAGAUGGCAUUAGAAGAGACAAAACCAUCUCCAAUGAGCCAGCGAAUAAUUCCUCAUAUUGAUCCAGAACUUCGCAAAAAAGUCGAGAAACCGGCUGGAGGAGCUGGAGAAGUAAAAAAAAGAGGGAGAAUGAAGAAAGAAGCUGAUGGAGAAUUUAAUAAAGAAGAAGAUGAUGAGCCAAUGCCUCUUGCUGAAAGAAUUGGCAAUUCUCCUGAGAAAUAUGAACAAGCAAAGGCAAAGAAAACAUUAAAGCAGCAAAUUAAACCUAGCCCAAAGAAGUCACUCUCAUCUAAAAAGAAAGGACCAAAAAGAAACCCAUGGUCAGCUUCAGAAUCUGAACCUAGCUCAUCUGAAGAAUCAGAUGUAGAAGCUAGUGACUAUAUACCACCAGAGAAGAGAACCACUGCUCCAAGACGAGCUGCAGCUUCAAAGGCAAAAUAUAACUUUGACAGUGAAGAAGAAGAGGAGGAGCACGAGAAUUUUAAGCCAAAUUAUGGAGCUUUUGAAGAUGAUAUUGACCGUAUUCGCUUAGAUCUAGAUGGAAUCAGCGAGGAAGAUGAACCUCCCAGUAGAACAAAGACCAAAACAAUAAAAAAGUAGGAAGUCUCAGCCAGAACCUCACAGAGAGGAAAAAACAAAUGAAAAUCAAAAUGGAAGAUCAACACCUGAAAUGAUUAUAUCAGACAGUGAAGACAGUUUUGAUGCCCCACCAUCCAGGACCACCAAAAAAACAGAUGAUACUGUUGGUGGAGAUAAAGAUGGGCUCUUUGAUUCUUUAUUGGGAGGAUCUUCUCCAGAUAAAAAACCU